AUGACCUUCAUCAUCAUCUUCAUCUGGACUCUCACAUACUGCUUUGUACUACAAGGGUGUAAAGCUCAAAUCACAGUGACUCAGACUCCUUCGGUGAAACCUGUCACACCAGGAGAAAAUGUUAAGAUGAGCUGUACAUUCAGUAGUAGUGAUACAGGCUGCAGCCCACCGUGUGUGUCCUGGUACUUACAGAAACCUGGAGAAGCUCCUAAACUCCUGAUUUAUGGAACAAGCAGCCUCCAGUCAGGAACUCCAUCUAGAUUCAGUGGCAGUGGAUCUAACAAAGAUUUCACUCUGACCAUCAGUGGAGUCCAGACUGAAGAUGCUGGACAUUAUUACUGUCUGGAAAGCUUCUGUGGUCCAGUGUUCACACAGUGA
This is a non-coding RNA of Carassius auratus (goldfish), 378 nucleotides long. NCBI's taxonomy places the organism in Eukaryota, Metazoa, Chordata, Actinopteri, Cypriniformes, Cyprinidae. The record is from the annotation of a RefSeq genome assembly.